RNAcentral lists this small nucleolar RNA (111 nucleotides) under Gossypium hirsutum (cotton). Its description in RNAcentral is "Plant small nucleolar RNA R71". It matches the Rfam family "Plant small nucleolar RNA R71". From Rfam's summary of the family: R71 is a member of the C/D box family of snoRNAs containing the C (UGAUGA) and D (CUGA) box motifs. The record is from Rfam by way of RNAcentral. Lineage: Eukaryota; Viridiplantae; Streptophyta; Magnoliopsida; Malvales; Malvaceae.
AAUCCAUUGUGUGAGAAUUUUUUAAUCAACAUUUUGAAACGUUCACGCGCCUCAUAAAAAAUUUCUCCCUCAAUCUGUCUGAAGACAGCGAUGUCUCUUCUUUGUUGGACU